GGGGGGGGGGGGGGGGGGGGGGGGGGGAUGGGGGGCGGGCGGGAGGGGCCUGGUGUUGUGGGGUGCUCGCGGGGGGAGCGGGUGGGUAACGCGUGAGUAACCUGCCCUUGGCUUUGGGAUAACUUCAGGAACCUGGGGCUAAUACCGGAUAGGAGCUCCUGCUGCCUGGUGGGGGUUGGAACGUUUCGGCGGUUGGGGAUGGACUCGCGGCUUAUCAGCUGGUUGGUGGGGUAGUGGCUUACCAAGGCUUUGACGGGCAGCCGGCCUGGGUGGGUGACCGGCCACAUUGGGACUGAGAUACGGCCCAGACUCCUACGGGAGGCAGCAGUGGGGAAUAUUGCACAAUGGGCGGAAGCCUGAUGCAGCAACGCCGCGUGCGGGAUGACGGCCUUCGGGUUGUAAACCGCUUUCGCCUGUGACGAAGCGUGAGUGACGGUAAUGGGUAAAGAAGCACCGGCUAACUACGUG
This 468-nucleotide ribosomal RNA is filed under the name uncultured bacterium. RNAcentral's name for it is "partial 16S ribosomal RNA". The stretch from base 58 to 468 matches the Rfam family "Bacterial small subunit ribosomal RNA", at positions 39 to 507 of the family's 1533-position model. The record is from RNAcentral.